UACGUAGGUGGCAAGCGUUGUCCGGAUUUACUGGGCGUAAAGAGCGCGCAGGCGGUCGACCAAGUCGCGUGUGAAAGCCCCCGGCUCAACUGGGGAGGGUCACGCGAUACUGAUCGACUCGAAGGCAGGAGAGGGUAGUGGAAUUCCCGGUGUAGUGGUGAAAUGCGUAGAUAUCGGGAGGAACACCAGUGGCGAAGGCGACUACCUGGCCUGUUCUUGACGCUGAGGCGCGAAAGCCAGGGGAGCAAACGGG
This 253-nucleotide ribosomal RNA is filed under the name uncultured bacterium. RNAcentral's name for it is "partial 16S ribosomal RNA". It matches the Rfam family "Bacterial small subunit ribosomal RNA", at positions 524 to 776 of the family's 1533-position model. The record is from RNAcentral.